CCUGGGCGACCCCACCGACUGCCCGUUGCCUGGCCACGUCAGCAACCCGCUCGCCGCCGGAUCGCCCGAUGU
RNAcentral lists this small RNA (72 nucleotides) under Azotobacter chroococcum. Its description in RNAcentral is "Pseudomonas sRNA P10". It matches the Rfam family "Pseudomonas sRNA P10". Lineage: Bacteria; Pseudomonadati; Pseudomonadota; Gammaproteobacteria; Pseudomonadales; Pseudomonadaceae. The record is from RNAcentral.